Molecule: ribosomal RNA, 482 nt
Filed under: uncultured Planctomycetota bacterium
Lineage: Bacteria; Pseudomonadati; Planctomycetota
Description: bacterial SSU rRNA
Rfam family: Bacterial small subunit ribosomal RNA
Source: RNAcentral
CAAUGCACGAAAGUGUGACGGGGCAAUGCCGCGUGUGGGAUGAAGCCCCUCGGGGUGUAAACCACUGUCAGGGUCUAGGAACACAAUGACCAUACCCAAAGGAAGCACCGGCUAACUCUGUGCCAGCAGCCGCGGUAAUACAGAGGGUGCGAGCGUUAAUCGGAAUCACUGGGCUUAAAGGGUCCGUAGGCGGGACUGCAGGCGUCGAGUGAAAUACCACGGCUCAACCGUGGAACUGCUCGGCGAACCGCAGUUCUUGAGGCGAGUANAGGCGAUCAGAACGAUAGGUGGAGCGGUGAAAUGCGUAGAUAUCUAUCGGAAUGCCAAAGGUGAAGACAGGUCGCUGGGCUCGUCCUGACGCUGAGGGACGAAAGCGUGGGGAGCAAACGGGAUUAGAUACCCCGGUAGUCCACGCCGUAAACAAUGCGCACUGGGUCGGGGAGGUUUGACGCCUUCCUGGCCGAAGCAAAAGUGUUAAGUGC